AUGAAUGAGGUCACAAGGGAUAUACAAGGAGAUAUCCCAUGGUGUAUGCUCUUUACAGAUGAUGUGGUGCUAGUCGGCGAUAGUCGGACGGGGGUUAAUAGGAAGUUAGAGUUAUGGAGACAAACCUUGGAAUCGAAAGGUUUUAGGCUUAGUAUAACCAAAACCGAGUACAUGAGGUGCGGUUUCAGUAGGCAUGAGAAGGCGGAGGUUAGCCUUGAUGGGCAGGUGGUGUCUCAGAAGAACACCUUCGGAUAUUUGGGGUCAAUGUUGCAGAAGGAUGGGGGUAUUGAUGAGGAUGUGAACCAUUGA
RNAcentral lists this ribosomal RNA (309 nucleotides) under Triticum aestivum (bread wheat). RNAcentral's name for it is "partial small subunit ribosomal RNA". Lineage: Eukaryota; Viridiplantae; Streptophyta; Magnoliopsida; Poales; Poaceae. The record is from RNAcentral.